RNAcentral lists this ribosomal RNA (491 nucleotides) under Staphylococcus hominis. RNAcentral's name for it is "bacterial SSU rRNA". It matches the Rfam family "Bacterial small subunit ribosomal RNA", at positions 1 to 474 of the family's 1533-position model. Lineage: Bacteria; Bacillati; Bacillota; Bacilli; Caryophanales; Staphylococcaceae. The record is from RNAcentral.
UUGGGAAAAGAAUUGAUCCUGGCUCAGGAUGAACGCUGGCGGCGUGCCUAAUACAUGCAAGUCGAGCGAACAGACGAGGAGCUUGCUCCUUUGACGUUAGCGGCGGACGGGUGAGUAACACGUGGGUAACCUACCUAUAAGACUGGGAUAACUUCGGGAAACCGGAGCUAAUACCGGAUAAUAUUUCGAACCGCAUGGUUCGAUAGUGAAAGAUGGCUCUGCUAUCACUUAUAGAUGGACCUGCGCCGUAUUAGCUAGUUGGUAAGGUAACGGCUUACCAAGGCAACGAUACGUAGCCGACCUGAGAGGGUGAUCGGCCACACUGGAACUGAGACACGGUCCAGACUCCUACGGGAGGCAGCAGUAGGGAAUCUUCCGCAAUGGGCGAAAGCCUGACGGAGCAACGCCGCGUGAGUGAUGAAGGUCUUCGGAUCGUAAAACUCUGUUAUUAGGGAAGAACAAACGUGUAAGUAACUGUGCACGUCUUGACG